RNAcentral lists this non-coding RNA (45 nucleotides) under Trichobilharzia regenti. Lineage: Eukaryota; Metazoa; Platyhelminthes; Trematoda; Strigeidida; Schistosomatidae. The record is from RNAcentral.
AUCCGGAUGACGAAUCCCAAAUAGGACGAAAUGCGCAUUCUGAAU